GGGGAAUAUUGGACAAUGGGGGCAACCCUGAUCCAGCCAUGCCGCGUGUGUGAAGAAGGCCUUCGGGUUGUAAAGCACUUUCAGUGAGGAAGAAGGCCUGCGGGUUAAUAGCCGGCAGGAAGGACAUCACUCACAGAAGAAGCACCGGCUAACUCCGUGCCAGCAGCCGCGGUAAUACGGAGGGUGCGAGCGUUAAUCGGAAUUACUGGGCGUAAAGCGCGCGUAGGUGGCUUGAUAAGCCGGUUGUGAAAGCCCCGGGCUCAACCUGGGAACGGCAUCCGGAACUGUCAGGCUAGAGUGCAGGAGAGGAAGGUAGAAUUCCCGGUGUAGCGGUGAAAUGCGUAGAGAUCGGGAGGAAUACCAGUGGCGAAGGCGGCCUUCUGGACUGACACUGACACUGAGGUGCGAAAGCGUGGGUAGCAAACAG
RNAcentral lists this ribosomal RNA (427 nucleotides) under uncultured bacterium. RNAcentral's name for it is "bacterial SSU rRNA". It matches the Rfam family "Bacterial small subunit ribosomal RNA", at positions 356 to 775 of the family's 1533-position model. The record is from RNAcentral.